GACACUACACCGGGUGAACGGGCCACAUUGAUGUUGCGGAAUAGAAGGUUACUCUUUAGUGUUU
RNAcentral lists this transfer RNA (64 nucleotides) under Hemiarthrum setulosum. Its description in RNAcentral is "tRNA-Ile". The record is from RNAcentral. Lineage: Eukaryota; Metazoa; Mollusca; Polyplacophora; Chitonida; Hemiarthridae.